AGGGUUUGAUCAUGGCUCAGAUUGAACGCUGGCGGAAUGCUUUACACAUGCAAGUCGAACGAUGAAGCCUAGCUUGCUAGGUGAAUUAGUGGCGGACGGGUGAGUAAUAUAUCGGAACGUGUCCAUUAAUGGGGGAUAACUAAUCGAAAGGUUAGCUAAUACCGCAUACGCCCUGAGGGGGAAAGCUGGGGAUCUUCGGACCUAGCGUUAAUGGAGCGGCCGAUACCUGAUUAGCUAGUUGGUGGGGUAAAAGCCUACCAAGGCAACGAUCAGUAGCUGGUCUGAGAGGACGACCAGCCACACUGGGACUGAGACACGGCCCAGACUCCUACGGGAGGCAGCAGUGGGGAAUUUUGGACAAUGGGGGCAACCCUGAUCCAGCCAUUCCGCGUGAGUGAAGAAGGCCUUCGGGUUGUAAAGCUCUUUCGCAAGGGAAGAAACGAUAUAGGUUAAUAGCUUAUGUUAAUGACGGUACCUUGACAAGAAGCACCGGCUAACUACGUGCCAGCAGCCGCGGUAAUACGUAGGGUGCAAGCGUUAAUCGGAAUUACUGGGCGUAAAGCGUGCGCAGGCUGUUUUGUAAGUCAGAUGUGAAAUCCCCGAGCUCAACUUGGGAACUGCGUUUGAAACUACAAGACUAGAAUAGGUCAGAGGGGGGUAGAAUUCCAUGUGUAGCAGUGAAAUGCGUAGAGAUGUG
This 697-nucleotide ribosomal RNA is filed under the name uncultured bacterium. RNAcentral's name for it is "bacterial SSU rRNA". It matches the Rfam family "Bacterial small subunit ribosomal RNA", at positions 8 to 700 of the family's 1533-position model. The record is from RNAcentral.